This 247-nucleotide ribosomal RNA is filed under the name uncultured archaeon. RNAcentral's name for it is "partial 16S ribosomal RNA". It matches the Rfam family "Archaeal small subunit ribosomal RNA", at positions 691 to 937 of the family's 1478-position model. The record is from RNAcentral.
CCGACGGUGAGAGGUGAAACCUAGGGGAGCGAGCCGGAUUAGAUACCCGGGUAGUCCUAGGCGUAAAUGAUGCGAGUUAAGUGUGGGGGCAUCUACGAGAUGGCCCUGUGCUGUAGGGUAGCCGUUAAACUCGCCGCCUGGGGAGUACGGUCGCAAGGCUGAAACUUAAAGGAAUUGGCGGGGGAGCACCACAAGAGGUGGAGGCUGCGGUUCAAUUGGACUCAACGCCGGAAAACUCACCGGGAGC